UGGCGGCAUGCCUAACACAUGCAAGUCGAACGAGGGCUUCGGCCCUAGUGGCGCACGGGUGAGUAACGCGUGGGAACCUGCCCUGUGGUACGGAAUAACUCCGGGAAACUGGAGCUAAUGCCGUAUGUGUCCUGCGGGACAAAGAUUUAUCGCCAUGGGAUGGGCCCGCGUAGGAUUAGCUUGUUGGUGGGGUAACGGCCUACCAAGGCUACGAUCCUUAGCUGGUCUGAGAGGAUGAUCAGCCACACUGGGACUGAGACACGGCCCAGACUCCUACGGGAGGCAGCAGUGGGGAAUAUUGGACAAUGGGCGCAAGCCUGAUCCAGCAAUGCCGCGUGAGUGAUGAAGGCCUUCGGGUUGUAAAGCUCUUUCGCACGCGACGAUGAUGACGGUAGCGUGAGAAGAAGCCCCGGCUAACUUCGUGCCAGCAGCCGCGGUAAUACGAAGGGGGCUAGCGUUGUUCGGAAUUACUGGGCGUAAAGGGCGCGUAGGCGGUACUUCAAGUCAGGCGUGAAAGCCCCGGGCUCAACCUGGGAACCGCGCUUGAGACUGGAGAACUAGAGUUCGGGAGAGGAUGGUGGAAUUCCCAGUGUAGAGGUGAAAUUCGUAGAUAUUGGGAAGAACACCGAUGGCGAAGGCAGCCAUCUGGACCGACACUGACGCUGAGGCGCGAAAGCGUGGGGAGCAAACAGG
RNAcentral lists this ribosomal RNA (693 nucleotides) under uncultured Alphaproteobacteria bacterium. Its description in RNAcentral is "bacterial SSU rRNA". It matches the Rfam family "Bacterial small subunit ribosomal RNA", at positions 37 to 776 of the family's 1533-position model. Lineage: Bacteria; Pseudomonadati; Pseudomonadota; Alphaproteobacteria. The record is from RNAcentral.